This 148-nucleotide non-coding RNA is filed under the name Chlorocebus sabaeus (green monkey). The record is from Rfam by way of RNAcentral. Lineage: Eukaryota; Metazoa; Chordata; Mammalia; Primates; Cercopithecidae.
GCCAGGUGUGCUGGUGCACACCUGUAAUCCCAGCUACUUGGGAGGCUGAGGCAGAAGAAUCGCUUGAGCCCAGGAGGCGGAGGUUGCAGUGAGCCAAGAUUGUGCCACUACACUCCAGCCUGGGCGACACAGCAAGACUCCGUCUCAA